GAUGAACGCUGGCGGCGUGCCUAACACAUGCAAGUCGAACGGAGUCCAGCCUUUAAGACCUUCGGGUCAAAGAGGGGAAGACUGAGUGGCGGACGGGUGAGUAACACGUGGGCAACCUGGCUCAUAGAGGGGGAUAACAGAGAGAAAUUUCUGCUAAUACCGCAUAAGCACACCCUGCCGCAUGGCAGAGGGUGAAAAGAGAAUCGCUAUGAGAUGGACCCGCGUCUGAUUAGCCAGUUGGCAGGGUAAGAGCCUACCAAAGCGACGAUCAGUAGCCGAUCUGAGAGGAUGAACGGCCACAUUGGGACUGAGACACGGCCCAAACUCCUACGGGAGGCAGCAGUGGGGGAUAUUGCACAAUGGGGGGAACCCUGAUGCAGCGACGCCGCGUAAGUGAAGAAGUAUUUCGGUAUGUAAAGCUCUAUCAGCAGGGAAGAUAAUGACAGUACCUGAAUAAGAAGCCCCGGCUAACUACGUG
RNAcentral lists this ribosomal RNA (478 nucleotides) under uncultured bacterium. RNAcentral's name for it is "partial 16S ribosomal RNA". It matches the Rfam family "Bacterial small subunit ribosomal RNA", at positions 28 to 507 of the family's 1533-position model. The record is from RNAcentral.